GUUGCCCUGGCAACUGCGGGGGAGUCAAACAUCAGGGAGGUGAACUGAGAAGCAGGCAGGGAGCAGCCUCGCCUGGGCUUUAGGACCUAGGGCUUCCACUGCUCCAUGAAGGUGGCGGCUGCAGGGAGGGAGGAAAACCGGGAAGUUAGGGGCUCAGAAGCCCCACGACAUCAGAUGCCAUGAAAGCAUUCUCCUCUUCUGCACCAUUUGAUGAGAAAACUAAGGCUCGGCAGAAUUAAAUGGCUUAUCUGAUAAGUGGCAGUGUCAAGAUGGACAUUCAAUGAGGACUUUACUGCAAAUUCUCCAAUGUCAUCCUUCACCAGGAAAGAAUACAGGCAUUGGACCUGGCAAGAGAUGGGUCUGAAUCUGACUCACCUCCUGGUUCAGAGAACAUGCCCGCCUCCCCAUUAAGGCAAGACUGCAGCCCCCAUGACCGUCCCUGAGUUCCGAAGGGUGGAUUCAAACAGUUGCUAAUCAAGGGAGAAGCAGCCAAGCAACCACCCGGGGCAAGAUUAAAGGGACCAGAGAAACUCAUCAAGAUCAGGAGACAACCGCUGGGCUUCCCUGGUGGUCCAGUGGUUGAGAACCCGCCUGCCAAUGCGGGGGACGCGGGUUCGAGCCCUGGUCGGGGAACUAAGAUCCCACACGCAGUGAGGCAACUAAGCCCCCGCGCCGCAACUACUGAGCUCCGCGCCUCAACUAGAGAGAAGCCGGCGCACCACGAUGAGGAGCCCACGUGCCGCAGCGGAGGAUCCCGCAUGCCGCAACUAAGGCCCGACGCAGCCAAAAAUAAAAUAAAUUAAAAAAUUGGGAGACGACCACCUGAGAUGAGAUUAAGGGAGUGCAGGCCCUGCUCACCACACCCUAAUCUUGUCAGAGAACCACCCCCCCCGCCCUUUGAACCACUGCCAUAAAGCCCUUCAUCAAAUCCUCUGGCGGGGGACACACACAGUUUUUCGAGGCAGAAACCGGCAUGUCCCCCUUUGCCUGGCAAAGCAAUAAAGCUCUCCUUUUCUA
Balaenoptera acutorostrata (minke whale) is the source of this 1017-nucleotide long non-coding RNA. RefSeq lists it as uncharacterized. NCBI's taxonomy places the organism in Eukaryota, Metazoa, Chordata, Mammalia, Artiodactyla, Balaenopteridae. The record is from RefSeq and is a predicted model, not a curated record. The transcript has 4 exons.